AAGGCGCUUGAGAGAAGUAUCCUGAAGGAACUCGGCAAAUUGCCUCCGUAACUUCGGGAGAAGGAGGCCCCAUUGGCAGGCAACUGUUGAUGGGGGGCACAAUCCAGGGGGUGGCGACUGUUUACUAAAAACACAGGGCUCUGCGAAGUCGCAAGACGACGUAUAGGGUCUGACGCCUGCCCGGUGCCGGAAGGUUAAAAGGAGGGGUGCAAGCUCCGAAUUGAAGCCCCGGUAAACGGCGGCCGUAACGAUAACGGUCCUAAGGUAGCGAAAUUCCUUGUCGGGU
Molecule: ribosomal RNA, 286 nt
Filed under: Isochrysis galbana
Lineage: Eukaryota; Haptophyta; Isochrysidales; Isochrysidaceae
Description: partial Bacterial large subunit ribosomal RNA
Rfam family: Bacterial large subunit ribosomal RNA
Source: RNAcentral